RNAcentral lists this ribosomal RNA (301 nucleotides) under uncultured bacterium. RNAcentral's name for it is "partial 16S ribosomal RNA". It matches the Rfam family "Bacterial small subunit ribosomal RNA", at positions 509 to 809 of the family's 1533-position model. The record is from RNAcentral.
CAGCAGCCGCGGUAAAACGUAGGGUGCGAGCGUUAAUCGGAAUUACUGGGCGUAAAGCGUGCGCAGGCGGUUUGUUAAGACAGAUGUGAAAUCCCCGGGCUUAACCUGGGAACUGCAUUUGUGACUGGCCGGCUAGAGUAUGGCAGAGGGAGGUGGAAUUCCACGUGUAGCAGUGAAAUGCGUAGAUAUGUGGAGGAACACCGAUGGCGAAGGCAGCCUCCUGGGCCAAUACUGACGCUCAUGCACGAAAGCGUGGGGAGCAAACAGGAUUAGAUACCCCCGUAGUCCCUGUCUCUUAUAA